GACAUAGGGAGGGAGAAAGGAGGCUCCAGGAAGAAUCGGAAUGAGAACUGAUGAGGACCUGAACUGCAGCAGGAGGAGAGAGAGUGGCGAGGACGUCUCACGUGUGAGGACGUCUCACGUGCUGUCAUGUCAUUUAUUGGCACCACCUUCAACACAACUACUCAAGCCCAGUUGCUGAGCAUCAUCUGGAAUCCUUUCACCUUCCCAUGCACAAUCCUUGAGAUCCGGAGAUGCUACCUCCAAAAGGCAACCAAAAAAUCUAACGACGACUCACUAUCUUCCCAUCUACUGUCCAGUUGUGUAUAUAUGCGUCUAUGGACCAGGUAGUGUGUCAAAGGUAUUUCUUAGCUGUAGGGUUGCAGCAAAAAAGUUUGGAAGCUAUUCAUUGCCCAUUAGGCAAUUAAAGAGUAAAGAUGUGGCCCCUGCCUACAUCUUUAAUCUCAUCUUCUGUCAUCUCCCCCUCUUUGCUCCUUUAGUCCCUGGAAAGUGGUAAGCUCUUUCCUGCCUUGGGGCCUUAGUAUUUGCUGUUAACUCUACCUGGAACAUUCUCCUUAUCUUUCCC
RNAcentral lists this long non-coding RNA (562 nucleotides) under Homo sapiens (human). RNAcentral describes it as "non-protein coding LINC02065:5". The record is from RNAcentral. Lineage: Eukaryota; Metazoa; Chordata; Mammalia; Primates; Hominidae.